Molecule: ribosomal RNA, 667 nt
Filed under: Skyttea nitschkei
Lineage: Eukaryota; Fungi; Ascomycota; Leotiomycetes; Helotiales; Cordieritidaceae
Description: LSU rRNA
Rfam family: Eukaryotic large subunit ribosomal RNA
Source: RNAcentral
CUCGUGGAGGUUCGAGUUGUAAUUUGUAGAAGAUGCUUCGAGCGAGGCCGCGAUCGAAAUCCCUUGGAACAGGGUGUCGCAGAGGGUGAGAAUCCCGUACGCGGUGGAUGGUCUUUGCUCAUGUGAAGCUCUCUCGACGAGUCGAGUUGUUUGGGAAUGCAGCUCUAAAUGGGUGGUAAAUUGCAUCUAAAGCUAAAUAUGGGCCAGAGACCGAUAGCGCACAAUGUAGAGUGAUCGAAAGAUGAAAAGCACUUUGAAAAGAGGGUCAAACAGUACGUGAAAUUGUUGAAAGGGAAGCGCUCGCCACCAGACGUGCGCCCGGUCGAUCAUCUCGGGCUCGCUCGGGUGCACUGGAUCGGGGGCAGGCCAGCAUCAGUUUGGGUGGUCGGAGAAAGGUCGGAGGAAUGUAGCACCGCUCGCGGUGUGUUAUAGCCUCGGACGACAUGCGACCCACCGGGACUGAGGCCCGCGCUUCGGCGAGGAUGUUGGCGUAAUGGUUGUGAGCGACCCGUCUUGAAACACGGACCAAGGAGUCUAAUAUCUAUGCGAGUAUUUGGGUGUCAAACCCACGUGCGGAAUGAAAGUGAACGGAGGUGAGAGCCUCGUCNCGGGGUGCAUCACCGACCGAUCCGGAUGUCUUCGGAUGGAUUUGAGUAAGAGCAUAGCU